AACGAACGCUGGCGGCAUGCCUAACACAUGCAAGUCGAACGAGACCUUCGGGUCUAGUGGCGCACGGGUGCGUAACGCGUGGGAACCUGCCCUUAGGUUCGGAAUAACUCCCCGAAAGGGGUGCUAAUACCGGAUAAUGUCUUCGGACCAAAGAUUUAUCGCCUUUGGAUGGGCCCGCGUUGGAUUAGCUAGUUGGUAGGGUAAAAGCCUACCAAGGCGACGAUCCAUAGCUGGUCUGAGAGGAUGAUCAGCCACACUGGGACUGAGGCACGGCCCAGACUCCUACGGAAGGCAGCAGUGGGGAAUAUUGGACAAUGGGCGAAAGCCUGAUCCAGCAAUGCCGCGUGAGUGAUGAAGGCCUUAGGGUUGUAAAGCUCUUUUACCCGGGAUGAUAAUGACAGUACCGGGAGAAUAAGCUCCGGCUAACUCCGUG
This 433-nucleotide ribosomal RNA is filed under the name uncultured bacterium. RNAcentral describes it as "partial 16S ribosomal RNA". It matches the Rfam family "Bacterial small subunit ribosomal RNA", at positions 29 to 507 of the family's 1533-position model. The record is from RNAcentral.